This is a long non-coding RNA of Sorghum bicolor (sorghum), 489 nucleotides long. RefSeq lists it as uncharacterized. NCBI's taxonomy places the organism in Eukaryota, Viridiplantae, Streptophyta, Magnoliopsida, Poales, Poaceae. The record is from RefSeq and is a predicted model, not a curated record. The transcript is spliced from 2 exons.
GGUUGUCAAGCCAACACCAAUGAGCUAUCAACAUCGCGCCAUGCUGUUCUUGGGCCGUCGCUGCCGGAGGGUUACAAACCCUCUGAGGGGCCAUCGGCAACAACAACUGGCGGUCAAGGGAUGAUCAAGAUUGGUCCAUGCUUCCCCAACAAUGGCAAUAAUGGCAAUGCCCUCUCCUGCCUCAAGCUGUGCACGAGCAAAGGCUAUGCUGGCGGGCACUGUGACCCUCUGCCUGGUGGCCUCCGCGGCGACUGUUACUGCUUCACUUUUUGACAGCUGUGCAUAUAUAUGCCAUAGGCUACCCAAUGUAAUUCUAUAUCACCGUCUCGGUUCCACAAGCUUGGACGUAGCAAUCAUGGCAGAAAAAAUAAUUAGGGUUUAUUUUGAUAGUUUCAUUAGGGCAAACAGAUUCGUCCGCGUCGAAUGUUGAAGUCAUCGUGUUUGCCUGACUAGAGUGAAUCAAAUGCCAAUGUUCGUUACUCUCCCUAA